Molecule: ribosomal RNA, 492 nt
Filed under: uncultured bacterium
Lineage: Bacteria
Description: partial 16S ribosomal RNA
Rfam family: Bacterial small subunit ribosomal RNA
Source: RNAcentral
GACGAACGCUGGCGGCGUGCUUAACACAUGCAAGUCGAACGGAAAGGCCCCCACUUUUUUGGUGGGGGUGCUCGAGUGGCGAACGGGUGAGUAACACGUGGGGGAUCUGCCCUGUACUUCGGGAUAAGCUUGGGAAACUGGGUCUAAUACCGGAUAGGACCAUGGUUUAGUGGCUCAUGGUGGAAAAAUUAUUGUUUUGGUGCAGGAUGAGCUCGCGGCCUAUCAGCUUGUUGGUGGGGUAAUGGCCUACCAAGGCGUCGACGGGUAGCCGGCCUGAGAGGGUGGACGGACACAGUGGGAGGGGGAUCCGGCCCAGACGGCUACGGGAGGCAGCGGUGGGGAAUAUUGCAAAAUGGGCGCAAGCCUGAUGCAGCGACGCCGCGUGGGGGAUGACGGCCGUCGGGUUGUAAACUCCUUUCGUUAGGGACGAAGCCGCACCUUUUUUGGGUGUGGUGACGGUACCUUUGUGAAGAAGCACCGGCUAACUACGUG